This is a transfer RNA of 73 nucleotides. It matches the Rfam family "tRNA". From Rfam's summary of the family: Transfer RNA (tRNA) molecules are approximately 80 nucleotides in length. Their secondary structure includes four short double-helical elements and three loops (D, anti-codon, and T loops). Further hydrogen bonds mediate the characteristic L-shaped molecular structure. tRNAs have two regions of fundamental functional importance: the anti-codon, which is responsible for specific mRNA codon recognition, and the 3' end, to which the tRNAs corresponding amino acid is attached (by aminoacyl-tRNA synthetases). tRNAs cope with the degeneracy of the genetic code in two manners: having more than one tRNA (with a specific anti-codon) for a particular amino acid; and 'wobble' base-pairing, i.e. permitting non-standard base-pairing at the 3rd anti-codon position. The record is from Rfam.
GGGCAUAUAGCUCAGUUGGUAAAGCAUUGGGCUUUUAACCAAAUGGUCAUGGGUUCAAGUCCUGCUAUACCCA